GUUAAGUGUCGCUUAUGUAUUAUGUGUUUCUUUUGUACCAUCCUACUCAUUAGUAAAGCUACAUGUAGCAAUAAAGGGAUAAGACUAAUCCUAGUUCACUGCUGUCCAAGAAAGACACAUUAGCAUGGUGGUGCUUAGAUAGGUGACACAUUGUUGGUAAUAUUUUGAGGUUCUUGAAACAAAAAAAAUGUCAGGUGGUGGUUGUAGUAUAGUAUGGUUUAGGAGGGAUCUGAGAUUGGAAGACAAUCCAGCACUGGCUGCUGGAGUGAGAUCAGGAGAAGUGAUUGCAGUGUUUAUAUGGGCUCCAGAAGAAGAAGGAUACUAUUGUCCUGGAAGAGUGUCAAGAUGGUGGAUUAAGAAAAGUUUGGAUCAUCUUGAUUCAUCUUUGAAGAAACUUGGCACUUCACUCAUUACAAAGAGAUCUACUGAUAGUGUUUCUUCUCUUCUUCAAGUUGUGAAAUCUACCGGUGCAACUCGGGUUUUUUUCAAUCAUUUAUAUGAUCCAAUAUCACUAGUGAGAGAUAAUCGCGUAAAGGAAACCUUAUCAGCUGAAGGUGUAUCCGUGUGUUCCUUCAAUGCUGAUUUGCUAUAUGAACCAUGGGAAGUUGUCGAUGAUGAAGGUCGCCCAUUCAACACAUUUGCUGAUUUUUGGGAAAGAUGUCUUACCAUGCCUUAUGAUCCUGAAGCUCCACGUCUUCCACCUAAAAGGAUAAUAUCUGGUGAUGCAUCAAGAUGCACUUCAGACAACUUGAUGUUUGAGAGUGAAUUAGAGAAAGGAAGCAAUGCACUUCUUGCUCGAGCGUGGUCUCCUGGUUGGAGCAAUGCUGAUAAGGCACUCACUGCAUUCAUUAAUGGACCAUUGAUUGAGUAUUCCAAGAAUCAUAGUAAAGUUGAUAGUGCAACAACUUCGUUUCUGUCACCACGUUUACAUUUUGGUGAAGUCAGUGUUCGUAAGGUAUUCCAUCACAUCUGUACUAAACAAACUCUCUGGGCUAAUGAAGGAAACAAAGCAGGUGAAGAGAGUGUCAACUUGUUCCUUAAGUCCAUUGGUCUUAGGGAGUUCUCGAGAUACAUGAGCUUUUAUCAUCCUUACACUCAUGAAAGGCCAUUGCUUGGUCACCUAAAGUACUUUCCUUGGUUAGUAGACGAGGGUUAUUUUAAGGCGUGGAGGCAAGGUAGAACAGGUUAUCCUUUGGUUGAUGCAGGUAUGAGAGAGCUUUGGGCCACUGGCUGGCUACAUGAUCGUAUUCGAGUUGUUGUGUCUAGUUUCUCUGUUAAGGUUCUGCAGCUUCCUUGGACAUGGGGAAUGAAGUAUUUUUGGGACACACUGUUAGAUGCAGAUCUUGAGAGUGAUGCUCUUGGUUGGCAAUUUAUUACCGGUACCCUACCUGAUGGUUGUGAGUUCCUUGGAAUUGAUAAUCCACAGUUUGAGGGGUACAAGUUCGAUGCAAAUGGGGAAUACGUUCGGCGAUGGCUUCCUGAACUUGCUAGGCUGCCCACUGAAUGGAUACACCACCCAUGGGAUGCACCAGAAUCUGUACUUCAAGCUGCUGGCAUUGAACUUGGUUCCAAUUAUCCUCUUCCGAUCGUUGAAAUAGAUGCAGCAAAAGAACGACUAGAAGAAGCGUUAUCGCAAAUGUGGCAGCUUGAAGCAUCUGCAAGAGCUGCAAUUGAGAAUGGAAUGGAGGAAGGACAUGGAGACUCCACUGAUGAGUUUGUCCCAAUAGCUUUUCCUCAGGCCAUGCAGAUGGAAAUGGAACCUAAUGUAUCCGUUAGGAACAAUAAUCCUACAAUUACUGCUAUUCGACAUUAUGAAGAUCAGAUUGUUCCUAGCAUGUCAUCUUCCUUUUUUAGGACUGAAGAUGAAGAAAUCUCUGUUGAUAUUAGAAAUUCUGUUGUAGAUAGUAGAGCAGAAGUUCCAAUGAUAUCGAUGUAACUGAAGAACCACGGAGAGACAUACACUUGACCAAGGCAUUGUGAUAAAUAGCAGGAAGUCCAAAGAUACAAGUUGCAUUUAGACAGAACAACAUGAGUACCACAUUUCUCAAAUGACCACUCGACUAAUAGUUAUUGUCUCAGAAAGUCACUUUCUUUGUAAAAAAGAUGGAAUCAAGAAGAAAGGCUGACGUUCUGAGAUAUUAACUAUUAGUUAAGUGACCAUUGAGAAAUCAACCCAGCAUUUGGAUUAUGAAUCAGCACACUUAGCGUGGGAUCAAUCUAUAACUGUGGCUCUCUCACAUUUGUCUAUAACCUCUGAUUGGAUGAGGUGAUAUGUCUAGAUUUUCUUAUUUUUUUCUGCACUUCUUACCCAAUUAGUACUGCAGUGUUUCCAUUGUAUAGUAUGGAUGUUCUCUUUAAAGUCAAUGUAUCGACAAGGGUUGAAGUCUCGUUGAGAUAUAAUAUAAUUAAGUAAUCAAAA
Molecule: RNA transcript, 2419 nt
Organism: Solanum dulcamara
Lineage: Eukaryota; Viridiplantae; Streptophyta; Magnoliopsida; Solanales; Solanaceae
Gene name: cryptochrome-1-like
Exons: 4
Source: RefSeq, a predicted model, not a curated record